RNAcentral lists this ribosomal RNA (396 nucleotides) under uncultured bacterium. RNAcentral describes it as "partial 16S ribosomal RNA". It matches the Rfam family "Bacterial small subunit ribosomal RNA", at positions 361 to 774 of the family's 1533-position model. The record is from RNAcentral.
AUCUUGGGCAAUGGGCGAAAGCCUGACGCAGCCAUGCCGCGUGAAUGAUGAAGGUCGUAGGAUUGUAAAAUUCACUCACUUGGGACGAAAAUGACGGUACCCGGAGAAGAAGCCCCGGCUAACUUCGUGCCAUCAGCCGUGGUAAUACGAAGGGGGCUAGCGUUGCUGGGAAUUACUGGGCGUAAAGGGCGCGGAGGCGGACAUUUAAGUCAGGGGUGAAAUCCCAGAGCUCAACUCUGGAACUGCCUUUGAUACUGGGUGUCUUGAGUGUGAGAGAGGUAUGUGGAACUCCGAGUGUAGAGGUGAAAUUCGUAGAUAUUCGGAAGAACACCAGUGGCGAAGGCGACAUACUGGCUCAUUACUGACGCUGAGGCGCGAAAGCGUGGGGAGCAAACA